AAUUCUCAACCAUCCUUUGAUUUAUUUCGAGGGGUGGCUUGGAUUUUGGGAGUUGCUGGCUUGACCCCCCGUCGUGGGGGACGGGUCGGCUCUCCUUAAAAGCAUUAGCGAAAGGUGGCAAGCCCCUGCAUGCACGGCCUUUGACGUGAUAAUGAUCGUCGUGGCUGGAGUGCGAGGCGUAGAUCCGACCUUUGCUUCUAAACCUCGGUACUUUGGGGACUUUGCUUCGGCAGACGAACCUUUUUGCCCUCUUUGA
RNAcentral lists this unclassified non-coding RNA (256 nucleotides) under uncultured Melanogastraceae. Its description in RNAcentral is "sequence contains ITS2". Lineage: Eukaryota; Fungi; Basidiomycota; Agaricomycetes; Boletales; Melanogastraceae. The record is from RNAcentral.